UAGCUAGUUGGUGAGGUAAAGGCUUACCAAGGCGACGAUCUGUAGCGGGUCUGAGAGGAUGAUCCGCCACACUGGAACUGAGACACGGUCCAGACUCCUACGGGAGGCAGCAGUGGGGAAUUUUGGACAAUGGGGGCAACCCUGAUCCAGCCAUGCCGCGUGAGUGAAGAAGGCCUUCGGGUUGUAAAGCUCUUUCGGCCGGGAAGAAAUCGCAUGGGCCAAUACCCUGUGUGGAUGACGGUACCGGAAUAAGAAGCACCGGCUAACUACGUGCCAGCAGCCGCGGUAAUACGUGGGGUGCGAGCGUUAAUCGGAAUUACUGGGCGUAAAGCGUGCGCAGGCGGUUUUGUAAGACAGGCGUGAAAUCCCCGGGCUUAACCUGGGAACUGCGUUUGUGACUGCAAGGCUAGAGUACGGCAGAGGGGGGUGGAAUUCCACGUGUAGCAGUGAAAUGCGUAGAGAUGUGGAGGAACACCAAUGGCGAAGGCAGCCCCCUGGGUCGAUACUGACGCUCAUGCACGAAAGCGUGGGUAGCAAACAGGAUUAGAUACCCUGGUAGUCCACGCCCUAAACUAUGUCAACUAGGUGUUGGGUGGGUAAAACCAUUUAGUACCGUAGCUAACGCGUGAAGUUGACCGCCUGGGGAGUACGGCCGCAAGGUUAAAACUCAAAGGAAUUGACGGGGACCCGCACAAGCGGUGGAUGAUGUGGAUUAAUUCGAUACAACGCGAAAAACCUUACCUACCCUUGACAUGCCAGGAACUUGCCAGAGAUGGCUUGGUGCCCGAAAGGGAGCCUGGACACAGGUGCUGCAUGGCUGUCGUCAGCUCGUGUCGUGAGAUGUUGGGUUAAGUCCCGCAACGAGCGCAACCCUUGUCGUUAAUUGCCAUCAUUUGGUUGGGCACUUUAACGAGACUGCCGGUGACAAACCGGAGGAAGGUGGGGAUGACGUCAAGUCCUCAUGGCCCUUAUGGGUAGGGCUUCACACGUCAUACAAUGGUCGGUACAAAGGGUUGCCAAGCCGCGAGGCGGAGCCAAUCCCAGAAAGCCGAUCGUAGUCCGGAUUGCAGGCUGCAACUCGCCUGCAUGAAGUCGGAAUCGCUAGUAAUCGUGGAUCAGCAUGUCACGGUGAAUACGUUCCCGGGUCUUGUACACACCGCCCGUCACACCAUGGGAGCGGGUUCCGCCAGAAGUAGGUAGCCUAACCGCAAGGAGGGCGCUUACCACGGCGGGGUUCGUGACUGGGGUGAAGUCGUAACAAGGUAGCCGUAGGGGAACCUGCGGCUG
Molecule: ribosomal RNA, 1287 nt
Filed under: metagenome
Description: bacterial SSU rRNA
Rfam family: Bacterial small subunit ribosomal RNA
Source: RNAcentral